RNAcentral lists this ribosomal RNA (492 nucleotides) under uncultured bacterium. RNAcentral's name for it is "partial 16S ribosomal RNA". It matches the Rfam family "Bacterial small subunit ribosomal RNA", at positions 29 to 507 of the family's 1533-position model. The record is from RNAcentral.
AGUGAACGCUGGCGGUAGGCCUAACACAUGCAAGUCGAACGGCAGCACAGUAAGAGCUUGCUCUUACGGGUGGCGAGUGGCGGACGGGUGAGGAAUACAUCGGAAUCUACUUUUUCGUGGGGGAUAACGUAGGGAAACUUACGCUAAUACCGCAUACGACCUACGGGUGAAAGCAGGGGAUCUUCGGACCUUGCGCGAUUGAAUGAGCCGCUGUCGGAUUAGCUAGUUGGCGGGGUAAAGGCCCACCAAGGCGACGAUCCGUAGCCGGUCUGAGAGGAUGAUCAGCCACACUGGAACUGAGACACGGUCCAGACUCCUACGGGAGGCAGCAGUGGGGAAUAUUGGACAAUGGGCGCAAGCCUGAUCCAGCCAUACCGCGUGGGUGAAGAAGGCCUUCGGGUUGUAAAGCCCUUUUGUUGGGAAAGAAAAGCAGCAGGUUAAUACCCCGCUGUUCUGACGGUACCCAAAGAAUAAGCACCGGCUAACUUCGUG